This 500-nucleotide ribosomal RNA is filed under the name Pseudomonas sp. DsA.N008. Its description in RNAcentral is "bacterial SSU rRNA". It matches the Rfam family "Bacterial small subunit ribosomal RNA", at positions 75 to 575 of the family's 1533-position model. Lineage: Bacteria; Pseudomonadati; Pseudomonadota; Gammaproteobacteria; Pseudomonadales; Pseudomonadaceae. The record is from RNAcentral.
GGAGCUUGCUCCUUGAUUCAGCGGCGGACGGGGAAGACUCUAGGAAUCUGCCUGAUGUGUGGACAACGUUUUGAAAGGAACGCUAAUACCGCAUACGUGCUACGGGAGAAAGCAGGGGACCUUCGGGCCUUGCGCUAUCAGAUGAGCCUAUGGUCGGAGUAGCUAGUAGGUGAGGUAAUGGCUCACCUAGGCGACGAUCCGUAACUGGGCUGAGAGGAUGAUCAGUCACACUGGAACUGAGACACGSUCCAGACUCCUACGGGAGGCAGCAGUGGGGAAUAUUGGACAAUGGGCGAAAGCCUGAUCCAGCCAUGCCGCGUGUGGSAAGAAGGUCUUCGGAUUGUAAAGCACUUUAAGUUGGGAGGAAGGGCAGUAAGUUAAUACCUUGUUGUUUUGACGUUACCGACGGAAUAAGCACCGGCUAACUCUGUGCCAGCAGCCGCGGUAAUACAGAGGGUGCAAGCGUUAAUCGRAAUUACUGGSUGUAAAGSGCGCGUAGG